RNAcentral lists this ribosomal RNA (660 nucleotides) under uncultured fungus. RNAcentral describes it as "eukaryotic LSU rRNA". It matches the Rfam family "Eukaryotic large subunit ribosomal RNA", at positions 24 to 664 of the family's 3401-position model. The record is from RNAcentral. Lineage: Eukaryota; Fungi.
CCCGCUGAACUUAAGCAUAUCAAUAAGCGGAGGAAAAGAAACUAACAAGGAUUCCCCUAGUAACUGCGAGUGAACCGGGAAAAGCUCAAAUUUUGAAUCUGGCGGUCUUCAGGCCGUCCGAGUUGUAAUCUAGAGAAGCGUCUUCCGCGCUGGACCGUGUAUAAGUUUCCUGGAAUGGAACGUCGUAGAGGGUGAGAAUCCCGUCUUUGACACGGACUGCCAGGGCUAUGUGAUGCGCUCUCGACGAGUCGAGUUGUUUGGGAAUGCAGCUCAAAUAGGGUGGUAAAUUCCAUCUAAAGCUAAAUACAGGCGAGAGACCGAUAGCGAACAAGUACCGUGAGGGAAAGAUGAAAAGAACUUUGGAAAGAGAGUUAAACAGUACGUGAAAUUGCUGAAAGGGAAACGCUUGAUGUCAGUCGCGUCGUCCGGGGAUCAGCCUUGCUCUUUUGCUUGGUGUACUUUCUGGUUAACGGGUCAGCAUCAAUUUUGACCGGUGGAUAAAGGUCAGGGGAAUGUGGCAUCUUCGGAUGUGUUAUAGCCCUUGGUUGCAUACAUCGAUUGGGAUUGAGGAACUCAGCAUGCCGCAAGGCCGGGUUUUUAACCACGUACAUGCUUAGGAUGCUGGCAUAAUGGCUUUAAUCGACCCGUCUUGAAACACGG